RNAcentral lists this non-coding RNA (195 nucleotides) under Nicotiana attenuata. RNAcentral's name for it is "Eukaryotic small subunit ribosomal RNA". It matches the Rfam family "Eukaryotic small subunit ribosomal RNA", at positions 1641 to 1831 of the family's 1831-position model. The record is from Rfam by way of RNAcentral. Lineage: Eukaryota; Viridiplantae; Streptophyta; Magnoliopsida; Solanales; Solanaceae.
UUGACUACGUCCCUGCCCUUUGUACACACCGCCCGUCGCUCCUACCGAUUGAAUGAUCCGGUGAAAUGUUCGGAUCGCGGCGACGUGGGCGGUUCGCUGCCCGCGACGUCGCGAGAAGUCCAUUGAACCUUAUCAUUUAGAGGAAGGAGAAGUCGUAACAAGGUUUCCGUAGGUGAACCUGCGGAAGGAUCAUUG